Molecule: ribosomal RNA, 1372 nt
Filed under: uncultured bacterium
Lineage: Bacteria
Description: bacterial SSU rRNA
Rfam family: Bacterial small subunit ribosomal RNA
Source: RNAcentral
GAUGAACGUUGGCGGCGUGCCUAAUACAUGCAAGUCGAGCGAACAGAUAAGGAGCUUGCUCCUUUGACGUUAGCGGCGGACGGGUGAGUAACACGUGGGUAACCUACCUAUAAGACUGGGAUAACUUCGGGAAACCGGAGCUAAUACCGGAUAACAUUUGGAACCGCAUGGUUCUAAAGUGAAAGAUGGUUUUGCUAUCACUUAUAGAUGGACCCGCGCCGUAUUAGCUAGUUGGUAAGGUAACGGCUUACCAAGGCAACGAUACGUAGCCGACCUGAGAGGGUGAUCGGCCACACUGGAACUGAGACACGGUCCAGACUCCUACGGGAGGCAGCAGUAGGGAAUCUUCCGCAAUGGGCGAAAGCCUAACGGAGCAACGCCGCGUGAGUGAUGAAGGGUUUCGGCUCGUAAAACUCUGUUAUUAGGGAAGAACAAAUGUGUAAGUAACUGUGCACGUCUUGACGGUACCUAAUCAGAAAGCCACGGCUAACUACGUGCCAGCAGCCGCGGUAAUACGUAGGUGGCAAGCGUUAUCCGGAAUUAUUGGGCGUAAAGCGCGCGUAGGCGGUUUCUUAAGUCUGAUGUGAAAGCCCACGGCUCAACCGUGGAGGGUCAUUGGAAACUGGGAAACUUGAGUGCAGAAGAGGAAAGUGGAAUUCCAUGUGUAGCGGUGAAAUGCGCAGAGAUAUGGAGGAACACCAGUGGCGAAGGCGACUUUCUGGUCUGUAACUGACGCUGAUGUGCGAAAGCGUGGGGAUCAAACAGGAUUAGAUACCCUGGUAGUCCACGCCGUAAACGAUGAGUGCUAAGUGUUAGGGGGUUUCCGCCCCUUAGUGCUGCAGCUAACGCAUUAAGCACUCCGCCUGGGGAGUACGACCGCAAGGUUGAAACUCAAAGGAAUUGACGGGGACCCGCACAAGCGGUGGAGCAUGUGGUUUAAUUCGAAGCAACGCGAAGAACCUUACCAAAUCUUGACAUCCUUUGAAAACUCUAGAGAUAGAGCCUUCCCCUUCGGGGGACAAAGUGACAGGUGGUGCAUGGUUGUCGUCAGCUCGUGUCGUGAGAUGUUGGGUUAAGUCCCGCAACGAGCGCAACCCUUAAGCUUAGUUGCCAUCAUUAAGUUGGGCACUCUAGGUUGACUGCCGGUGACAAACCGGAGGAAGGUGGGGAUGACGUCAAAUCAUCAUGCCCCUUAUGAUUUGGGCUACACACGUGCUACAAUGGACAAUACAAAGGGCAGCUAAACCGCGAGGUCAUGCAAAUCCCAUAAAGUUGUUCUCAGUUCGGAUUGUAGUCUGCAACUCGACUACAUGAAGCUGGAAUCGCUAGUAAUCGUAGAUCAGCAUGCUACGGUGAAUACGUUCCCGGGUCU